Molecule: ribosomal RNA, 407 nt
Filed under: uncultured bacterium
Lineage: Bacteria
Description: partial 16S ribosomal RNA
Rfam family: Bacterial small subunit ribosomal RNA
Source: RNAcentral
UGGGAAUUUUGGACAAUGGGCGAAAGCCUGAUCCAGCAAUGCCGCGUGUGUGAAGAAGGCCUUCGGGUUGUAAAGCACUUUUGUCCGGAAAGAAAUCCUUGGCUCUAAUACAGUCGGGGGAUGACGGUACCGGAAGAAUAAGCACCGGCUAACUACGUGCCAGCAGCCGCGGUAAUACGUAGGGUGCAAGCGUUAAUCGGAAUUACUGGGCGUAAGCGUGCGCAGGCGGUUUGCUAAGACCGAUGUGAAAUCCCCGGGCUCAACCUGGGAACUGCAUUGGUGACUGGCAGGCUAGAGUAUGGCAGAGGGGGGUAGAAUUCCACGUGUAGCAGUGAAAUGCGUAGAGAUGUGGAGGAAUACCGAUGGCGAAGGCAGCCCCUGGGCCAAUACUGACGCUCAUGCACAAG